GACGAACGCUGGCGGCGUGCUUAACACAUGCAAGUCGAACGGUGAAGCGCCUUCCUUUUUGGUGGGUGUGGAUGAGUGGCGAACGGGUGAGUAACACGUCAGUAACCUGCCCCCUUCUUCUGGAUAACCGCAUGAAAGUUUGGCUAAUACGGGAUAUUCUGGGUCUGUCUCAUGCUGGGUCUGGGAAAGUUGUUGUUUCGGUGGGGGCUGGGCUCGCGGCCUAUCAGCUUGUUGGUGGGGUGAUUGCCUACCAAGGCGGUGACGGGUAGCCGGCCUGAGAGGGUGGAAGGGCACAAUGGGAAGGAGACACGGCACAGAAUGGUACGGGAGGCAGCAGUGGGGAAUAUUGGACGAUGGGGGCAAGACUGAUGCAGAGACGCCGCGAGAGGGAUGGAGGAAUUCGGGUCGUGAAACUCUGUCGCUAGUGAAGCAGGGCUGCCUCGUUUGUGAGUGGGUUGACGGUAGCUGGAUAAGAAGCGCCGGCUAACUACGUG
Molecule: ribosomal RNA, 494 nt
Filed under: uncultured bacterium
Lineage: Bacteria
Description: partial 16S ribosomal RNA
Rfam family: Bacterial small subunit ribosomal RNA
Source: RNAcentral